Molecule: ribosomal RNA, 488 nt
Filed under: uncultured marine bacterium
Lineage: Bacteria
Description: bacterial SSU rRNA
Rfam family: Bacterial small subunit ribosomal RNA
Source: RNAcentral
CCGCGUGAGUGAUGAAGGCCUUAGGGUCGUAAAGCUCUUUCGCCAGAGAUGAUAAUGACAGUAUCUGGUAAAGAAACCCCGGCUAACUCCGUGCCAGCAGCCGCGGUAAUACGGAGGGGGUUAGCGUUGUUCGGAAUUACUGGGCGUAAAGCGUACGUAGGCGGAUUAGUCAGUCAGAGGUGAAAUCCCAGGGCUCAACCCUGGAACUGCCUUUGAUACUGCUAGUCUUGAGUUCGAGAGAGGUGAGUGGAAUUCCAAGUGUAGAGGUGAAAUUCGUAGAUAUUUGGAGGAACACCAGUGGCGAAGGCGGCUCACUGGCUCGAUACUGACGCUGAGGUACGAAAGUGUGGGGAGCAAACAGGAUUAGAUACCCUGGUAGUCCACACCGUAAACGAUGAAUGCCAGUCGUCGGGCAGUAUACUGUUCGGUGACACACCUAACGGAUUAAGCAUUCCGCCUGGGGAGUACGGUCGCAAGAUUAAAACUAA